RNAcentral lists this ribosomal RNA (424 nucleotides) under uncultured bacterium. RNAcentral describes it as "bacterial SSU rRNA". It matches the Rfam family "Bacterial small subunit ribosomal RNA", at positions 355 to 794 of the family's 1533-position model. The record is from RNAcentral.
UGGGGAAUAUUGGGCAAUGGGGGGAACCCUGACCCAGCAACGCCGCGUGGAGGAAGAAGGUUUUCGGAUCGUAAACUCCUGUCCUUGGAGACGAGUAGAAGACGGUAUCCAAGGAGGAAACCCCGGCUAACUACGUGCCAGCAGCCGCGGUAAUACGUAGGGGGCAAGCGUUGUCCGGAAUAAUUGGGCGUAAAGGGCGCGUAGGCGGCUCGGUAAGUCUGGAGUGAAAGUCCUGCUUUUAAGGUGGAAAUUGCUUUGGAUACUGUCGGGCUUGAGUGCAGGAGAGGUUAGUGGAAUUCCCAGUGUAGCGGUGAAAUGCGUAGAGAUUGGGAGGAACACCAGUGGCGAAGGCGACUAACUGGACUGUAACUGACGCUGAGGCGCGAAAGUGUGGGGAGCAAACAGGAUUAGAUACCCUGGUAGU